This 446-nucleotide ribosomal RNA is filed under the name Leptoneta wangae. RNAcentral describes it as "partial large subunit ribosomal RNA". It matches the Rfam family "Eukaryotic large subunit ribosomal RNA", at positions 593 to 974 of the family's 3401-position model. Lineage: Eukaryota; Metazoa; Arthropoda; Arachnida; Araneae; Leptonetidae. The record is from RNAcentral.
GUGGACGCACUUCCCUCCGCCCUUGGACGCCGCAGCCCGUGGGAGUCGGUGAGCGCGUCUCUGCCUGGGGUGCGAGCGCCUAAUCGGGGCCGCGGAGAGCUGCGGGAGGCGGCUGGCGGUGAGUAGGUCGGUAACCCACCCGACCCGUCUUGAAACACGGACCAAGGAGUGCGAUGCGUGCGCGAGUCGCUGGGUCUUGCACAGGCCCGAAGGCGAAGAUAACUCGUGGCCGGGAUUCCCUGGACGCACCGGCGGCCCGGUCGGCGUCUGAGCGCACGCGUUGCGACCCGAAAGGUGGUGAACUAUGCUUGGGCAGGUCGAAGCCAGAGGAAACUCUGGUGGAGGACCGUAGCGGUUCUGACGUGCAAAUCGAUCGUCAGACUCGAGUAUAGGGGCGAUAGACCAAUCGAACCACCUAGUAGCUGGUUCCCUCCGAAGUUUCCCUC